This 386-nucleotide RNase P RNA is filed under the name Puniceicoccales bacterium. RNAcentral describes it as "RNase P RNA component class A". It matches the Rfam family "Bacterial RNase P class A". Rfam says of the family: Ribonuclease P (RNase P) is a ubiquitous endoribonuclease, found in archaea, bacteria and eukarya as well as chloroplasts and mitochondria. Its best characterised activity is the generation of mature 5'-ends of tRNAs by cleaving the 5'-leader elements of precursor-tRNAs. Lineage: Bacteria; Pseudomonadati; Verrucomicrobiota; Opitutia; Puniceicoccales. The record is from RNAcentral.
ACCAAGGUGCGCGCAUUCGCCCGGCCCAACGCCGGGAGGAAAGUCCGGACACCACAGGGCAGGAUUCCGCGUGAAAACGCGGGCACUGGCUUUCAAAGGCCGGUGACGGAAAGUGUCACAGAAAACACACCGCCCGGGCUCACGCCUAGGCAAGGGUGAAAAGGUGGGGUAAGAGCCCACCGCGGCAACGGCAACGAAACCGGCAGGACAAACCCAAUCCGGUGCAAGACCAAAUAGGGAGGCAGGGCGGCCCGCCCAAUGUCUCCGGGUAGGUUGCACCGCCGCAAGGCGGAACCUCCACCGCAAGGCGGAGGUUAGAGGAAUGAAUGCGGACGGUCUCGCUUGCGAGACCGCCACAGAAUCCGGCUUACAGCACCUUGGUUGGC